UUUCCACAAUGAAGCCAUGGACCCUCUCCUGAGUCCACUCUCAGGCGCUGUUCAUCUGACACUCUUCCUUGGAUUGUCCCAUGGUCUCCGGGAUUAGUCCCACCCCAAGAAGCGGGCCCUGUCUGUGACAACGCCCUUUCCAAGAAGACUCUCCCAUUGGUCACGCCCCCGCCAGGGCUCUCACCUUAGAAGGCCGCCAGGCAUGGCUGAGGACCCAAAGCUAUGCAACCUAUAUAUCAAAUGGGUUCACCGGCACCAAUGCACAAAUGAUUCUCAACCCAGCGUACCCUAAAUAAGAGUCUCAGUCAGCACUGAUGGCCUCAAGACUGGAAUCAAAUCAAACCUGCAUAGCUAAUUGUUCUCUACCCCGACUUGCCAGACAUACUAUUCUAAGGAGCUCGUUGCUGGAGAGGACCUUGCCUCUGGUUGAAUCCACCAUGGAGCUGGACUACAGGACCUAGCGUUGCUGCAGCCCUGGGACUUGGACUUGGGAUUACACCUGCAGAGGUUGCCAACUGCCUGCCCAGCGGACCUGUGCUUUAAGGCAACACUGUAAACCACCCCCUCCGCAAUGGUCAACUCAUCUGCUGGCCACGUAGGUGCUGUGACCACCACGGCCUGUCACAUAUACAUCAACAACUCAGGGCAAGUCCAAUAUAAUUUACAAAAGAUGCAAUGACAAACACACAUGAUUAAUAAUAUCUCCAACAUCUUUGUUAAAAAGUAUAAUUCCUCCCACCCCUUCACUUAUCUUCAGGCCUGUGGGGGCCCUUUUCUCAUGCUAAGCCCCAUUACCUGGGGAGACCGGCUCCACCAGGUCUUCCAAUGAUCAGUAAGUCAUAGGACUAGUUCUAAUGAUGAUUAUGGUGCACUUAUUUAGGCUGAUCGUUUCAAACAUAAUGAACGGCUUAAAUGUCCCCAAAUGUCCUCAGACCCUGACCAUCCUGAAAAUGCCACAGGGUAGAUUGUAAUGGCAUAAGAGAAAUAUAUUUGGUGCCAUGUCAACCCGCCUGGCCUAGUUGUAACACCCCGGCUAGCCCUGCCCUGGGUGUAAUUCUGAUUAGCAAGGCCUGCACCUCUACAAGGUUUGGUGCACUUCUACCACGUCUUCUCCUACCACAUCUUCUCCUACCACAUCUUCUCCAAAAGGCCUCUUGCCCUUUCAUACUGCCUAAUUCACUAGCAGGGCAGUUUCUUCCAUAUGGCUUGGGUGAUAAGAAACUGUCCUCAGCUUCUCCAAAAGGCCCUGGGGCUUCUACUUUUUGCACCUUAUAGUUUAAAAUUCCCAAUCCCCAGUAUCCAUGGGAAAGUCCUACCUGCUCCCUCUGGGUCACAAUAAAGGCAAGAGCCUGGGACCCACAUGUGCUCACCAAGCCCCCACCCCCUGCCAGCAGGAGGUUAGGUUGGGGAAGCCCACUGGGCCCCUCCACUGCCCUCAUU
Molecule: long non-coding RNA, 1440 nt
Organism: Choloepus didactylus (southern two-toed sloth)
Lineage: Eukaryota; Metazoa; Chordata; Mammalia; Pilosa; Megalonychidae
Exons: 3
Source: RefSeq, a predicted model, not a curated record